UAGUUAGUACCUGACACAUAGUAAGCACUUGCUCCAAAAAUAUUGAGUGCCUGCCAUGUGCCAGGCACUGGG
Molecule: microRNA precursor, 72 nt
Filed under: Myotis lucifugus (little brown bat)
Lineage: Eukaryota; Metazoa; Chordata; Mammalia; Chiroptera; Vespertilionidae
Description: miRNA (ENSMLUG00000024431.1)
Source: RNAcentral